UGAGGAAUAUUGGUCAAUGCCCGCAAGGGUGACCCAGCAACGCCGCGUGGAGGAUGAAUGUCGUAAGAUUGUAAACUCCUGUUAGAGGGGAAGAAUAGUACCGGUUGGACCGGUAUAUGACUGUACCCUCAGAGAAAGCCCCGGCUAACUACGUGCCAGCAGCCGCGGUAAUACGUAGGGGGCAAGCGUUGUCCGGAUUUACUGGGUGUAAAGGGCGCGCAGGCGGGAUAAAAAGUCAGUGGUGAAAUCCUACAGCUUAACUGUAGAACUGCCUUUGAUACUUUUAUUCUUGAGUUCGGGAGAGAGAGACGGAAUUCCAGGUGUAGUGGUGAAAUACGUAGAUAUCUGGAAGAACACCAGUUGCGAAGGCGGUCUCUUGGUCCGACACUGACGCUGAGGCGCGAAAGCGUGGGGAGCAAACA
Molecule: ribosomal RNA, 422 nt
Filed under: uncultured bacterium
Lineage: Bacteria
Description: bacterial SSU rRNA
Rfam family: Bacterial small subunit ribosomal RNA
Source: RNAcentral